RNAcentral lists this ribosomal RNA (468 nucleotides) under uncultured bacterium. Its description in RNAcentral is "partial 16S ribosomal RNA". It matches the Rfam family "Bacterial small subunit ribosomal RNA", at positions 28 to 507 of the family's 1533-position model. The record is from RNAcentral.
GACGAACGCUGGCGGCGUGCUUAACACUUGCAAGUCGAACGGAAAGGCCCUGCUUUUGUGGGGUGCUCGAGUGGCGAACGGGUGAGUAACACGUGAGUAACCUGCCCUUGACUUUGGGAUAACUUCAGGAAACUGGGGCUAAUACCGGAUAGGAGCUCCUGCUGCAUGGUGGGGGUUGGAAAGUUUCGGCGGUUGGGGAUGGACUCGCGGCUUAUCAGCUUGUUGGUGGGGUAGUGGCUUACCAAGGCUUUGACGGGUAGCCGGCCUGAGAGGGUGACCGGCCACAUUGGGACUGAGAUACGGCCCAGACUCCUACGGGAGGCAGCAGUGGGGAAUAUUGCACAAUGGGCGGAAGCCUGAUGCAGCAACGCCGCGUGCGGGAUGACGGCCUUCGGGUUGUAAACCGCUUUCGCCUGUGACGAAGCGUGAGUGACGGUAAUGGGUAAAGAAGCACCGGCUAACUACGUG